RNAcentral lists this ribosomal RNA (391 nucleotides) under uncultured Cohnella sp. Its description in RNAcentral is "bacterial SSU rRNA". It matches the Rfam family "Bacterial small subunit ribosomal RNA", at positions 97 to 475 of the family's 1533-position model. The record is from RNAcentral. Lineage: Bacteria; Bacillati; Bacillota; Bacilli; Caryophanales; Paenibacillaceae.
GGCGGACGGGUGAGUAACACGUAGGCAACCUGCCCUCAAGACCGGGAUAACAUCCGGAAACGAAUGCUAAGACCGGAUACGCAAGCCUGUGGCAUCUCGGGCUUGGGAAACACGGCGCAAGCUGUGGCUUGGGGAUGGGCCUGCGGCGCAUUAGCUAGUUGGCGGGGUAACGGCCCACCAAGGCGACGAUGCGUAGCCGACCUGAGAGGGUGAACGGCCACACUGUGACUGAGACACGGCCCAGACUCCUACGGGAGGCAGCAGUAGGGAAUCUUCCACAAUGGGCGCAAGCCUGAUGGAGCAACGCCGCGUGAGUGAGGAAGGCCUACGGGUCGCACAGCUCUGUUGCCAGGGAAGAAUAAGGGCCAGUUAACUGCUGGUUCGAUGACGG